This 69-nucleotide microRNA precursor is filed under the name Loxodonta africana (African savanna elephant). RNAcentral's name for it is "mir-8/mir-141/mir-200 microRNA precursor family". It matches the Rfam family "mir-8/mir-141/mir-200 microRNA precursor family". From Rfam's summary of the family: The bounds of the precursors are predicted based on conservation and base pairing and are not generally known. The record is from Rfam by way of RNAcentral. Lineage: Eukaryota; Metazoa; Chordata; Mammalia; Proboscidea; Elephantidae.
GUGGGCAUCUUACCGGACAGUGCUGGAUUUCUCAGCUAGACUCUAACACUGUCUGGUAACGAUGUUCAA